Molecule: long non-coding RNA, 232 nt
Filed under: Arabidopsis lyrata
Lineage: Eukaryota; Viridiplantae; Streptophyta; Magnoliopsida; Brassicales; Brassicaceae
Description: long non-coding RNA (ALYR_LNC000793)
Source: RNAcentral
GGUUUGAGGUUCGAGUCCUAGAUAUUGCGAUUUAUUAACAAAUUUGCAGAUUAAUAGAGGCAAGUGUGCAGGAGAUCUCCAGCGAUGUACAAUUAUAGCCGUUCGCCAGGAUUCUACGCAGAGAAGGAAGUGUCGUCAGGUCGUGGAUCAUUGAAGGUAUUCAUCAAGAUUAUGAAGAAAGAAGUGUAGUCUGUCGUAGAUCUAAUAAGGGUUGGAAGGAAUUGUCAGUUGU